GGACACAUCUCAGCAGUAUUAUCUCAGUUACUAAGCUCUUUCUUAUAUGCAAAAAUGUGAACCCUUUUUCUUUGAUCUCUAAUUUCUUCUCUUUCUCUUUGGCAGAGCUAAUGCAUCUGCAAAUUGUUUAAGCUAUCCUCCAUGUCAUCAAAAGGUUGGUGUUUAGAUCAUGAAAAUAUCUUCAUGUCACUUUCAUUGCAUACAACUAAGAUCCACUUUCCUCCCGAUUGCAGAGAGUUCGGAAUCACGGUGACUCUAAAGCCUCACCAAGUCGAAGGAGUCUCUUGGCUUAUGUACAAAUAUCUUCUCGGCGUCAAUGUCCUUCUCGGUAACUCUCCGCCCUUUUUCUUCAGAUAUAAACCAGAACUCAAAAACUUUUUUUAGUAUGAUUGCAGGUUACGAGGUACCACCACUUUUUUUUUUUGAAUCGCUAUCUUUGUGAUUGUAUCUAUGUUGAGACUAAUCUACAGAUUGAGCAUAUGGGGUUGGGGAAGACUCUAGAAGCAAUUUUUUUUUUUUAGUUAUAUGAAGUUUCUUCAAGGAUUACGAGAGCCAUUUUGUGAGUCAGUGAGAUUGGCUUCUUAAAGAUUUGUCCUUUAAGCGUAACAGAUGGUUGGGUGUGAGAGACAAAAGGUUCACUUCAGAACAUGAAGUUCUUAGGAAUCUUUGUUACUGUUUAGUGUGUUGUUUACAACGUAUGAUAUAGCAUUGCUGGAUCAAGACUUCCUUUCUCAGAUUCUGUGGCAGUAUACUGUAAUUGAUGAAGCUCAAAUACUCAAGAAUCCCAACAGAUUGAGCAGAAAGAGAUGGGAGUAGUAUACGUAGAUAUUGUGUAUGUUGUCGCUCGCUUGGGAAACAAUUGACAUAUAUUGUAUAUAUAGAUAUAGAUUUGUAGUAGCUUUUCUAAUUAAUAACUAUGAGACUCAAAAUUUUGUACUCUAUCCUUUUGGAAUUUUGUUAGGCAAGAAACUUUUCCACCAGCAUAGAGCCAUAGAUCAAGAGUCAGUUAUUGCUUUCCCUUUCGCAGACUCACUAAAGCAUUGUUUAUCAUUCCUGUAUUAACAUUAUUUUUCUUUACUCCCACAUGGAAAAUCUAUCACUUUGUUUAUAAUGAGGGUGAUGCAAUCAUAUAUGGCUUCGGAUUUCCACUUUUGGUGAAGUCUUUGUUUGAAAAUAGUAAUAUCACCUUCAUUUAAAAUUCAUCUCUGUUUUCCAAGUGAUUAUAUAGGAUCAUCGUUCUCUGUUGUAACUUGAAUGAUGAAUCUUAAUAAUUAAACAACUCCCGAUAACCACAAAAUAAAGCACCAAGUUGUUGACCUAGUUUUUGAUUUUCAGAUUGAACGAAUAAACAAAAAGAAGAUGAAAAAGUUGGUUUGUUUACAUGACACCAAAAAAUACCACUGAAAUUCAUACCUAAAACUAAAAACGAACCUUGAAAUUUGGUUGUUUAUAUAUGAUCCAUCAAUAAUAUCCAAACACGUGACAAAAAAAAGUAAAAAAAUAAUAAUAUCCAAACAUAUUGGGAUGAGUCCUUAAUGUUUUGGUUUAUACGUUUGCAAGCUAUAACAAUACAAGUUUUUCUCCCCACUCAAGUUACAAAAUGGAAAUUAUAAAACCAAAGUAGUAACACAUUAAGCAAGAGAUUGCUAAAGUUAGAAGAAGUGUCUUUUUUUAAUUAAAAAAAAAAUUCAUUAGCAUAACAAGAAAAAAAAUGCUCAAAUCAGCUUUUCCAGUCAGCAUCUGAUUUAACACAAGAAAUUGUCGGGUUUAAAAUUGAUUUUUAGGCUUGAUUUAUUAGAAAGCCAGUAAUUCAACCAUAUUAUAUAUACAACAAUAAUUAUAUUUAAGUGAGAGCACUAUAACUGUAACUUAAGAUAAAUGUUGAAAUUGAUUUUGAGAACAAAAAGGUUAAUUUAAAAUUAUUCAACAGAUUUCUAAAAAUAUUGUCAAAAAUUAAUAAUUGAGUGACUAUACAUAAUAUAGUUCAAUAAUAUAAAAAAUUCCAGUGGUAAAUAGAAAACUUUUGUAAGGAAAACAAAAAAGGAGGAAAUCUAUUUAUGAUAUUGCUUUUUGUUUCAUCAAGUUAAAAAAAUUAACAAGAAAAUUAUUGAAAACAUCAAACACAAAUUAACACAUAAUCAAAAAAAAAAAUUCAGAAAGAAGUAGUUGG
Long non-coding RNA from Brassica napus (rape), 2170 nucleotides. RefSeq lists it as uncharacterized. The transcript has 2 exons. NCBI's taxonomy places the organism in Eukaryota, Viridiplantae, Streptophyta, Magnoliopsida, Brassicales, Brassicaceae. The record is from RefSeq and is a predicted model, not a curated record.